This 558-nucleotide ribosomal RNA is filed under the name uncultured Bacteroidota bacterium. Its description in RNAcentral is "bacterial SSU rRNA". It matches the Rfam family "Bacterial small subunit ribosomal RNA", at positions 339 to 896 of the family's 1533-position model. Lineage: Bacteria; Pseudomonadati; Bacteroidota. The record is from RNAcentral.
CUACGGGAGGCAGCAGUAAGGAAUAUUGGACAAUGGGCGGCAGCCUGAUCCAGCCAUCCCGCGUGCAGGAAGACGGCGCUCUGCGUUGUAAACUGCUUUUAUAUACCAAGAAACGCCUUUACGUGUAAGGGUUUGACGGUAGUAUAUGAAUAAGCACCGGCUGACUCCGUGCCAGCAGCCGCGGUAAUACGGAGGGUGCAAGCGUUAUCCGGAAUUACUGGGUUUAAAGGGUGCGUAGGCGGCAUUAUAAGUCAGUGGUGAAAAGUCUGGGCUUAACCGAGGCCUUGCCAUUGAAACUGUAAAGCUUGAAAUAAGUUGAGGUAGGCGGAAUGUGACAUGUAGCGGUGAAAUGCAUAGAUAUGUCAUAGAACACCAAUUGCGAAGGCAGCUUACUAGACUUUAUUUGACGCUGAGGCACGAAAGCGUGGGUAGCGAACAGGAUUAGAUACCCUGGUAGUCCACGCCCUAAACGAUGUUUACUCGAUAUUUGGGUCUUGAAUCUGAGUGUCUAAGGGAAACCGAUAAGUAAACCACCUGGGGAGUACGUUCGCAAGAAUG